This is a long non-coding RNA of Musca domestica (house fly), 801 nucleotides long. RefSeq lists it as uncharacterized. Lineage: Eukaryota; Metazoa; Arthropoda; Insecta; Diptera; Muscidae. The transcript has 3 exons. The record is from RefSeq and is a predicted model, not a curated record.
AUCGACUGGUUUCUUCGUAGAUGAACAAAGGAGUUUUAGGUUGACUUAGUUCGAUUUUGGCCCUAGGCUCCUUUGUUCAUUUCCGAAGAAGCCAGCGGAUGACUUAAGCCAGCCAGAUAAGCGCUUUAUGUGUUCCCACCUUUAGUGUGAUUUGACUUGUUCAGUCCUGCUCUAGAGUAACGAGCUGUGCCCACACGGGCCAAAAUAUAAUAAUAUAAUAUGUCGGUGAAAAUUUUUUAAUCACAAUACGGGGCACCUCAAAUAGAUGCUAUAUGUGUACGAGUACGUAUCUAGCAGAAAAAAUCUUCCAACUAAACAAAGCGCCGCCAUAAAGCCAGGCAUGUGACACAUAGCACCCAAACGACCUAACCUAGUCCCUAAUCGGAUGGCUCUGUAUUAAUCAUCCAUUCAUACACAACUGGAGUGGAAAGUUUCUUUUUGUUGCCUUCGUCUUGUGCUGCUGGGAGAAAAAGCAGGCCGCUGCCAAGUUGCAGAGAUUCGAAGAAGUAAACAACAACAACGGCUGUUUUCAUCGGAACGGAAAGGAAUUUCUUGUUGGACUUUAUCUCUGUUUCGGCGUUUUUUAUGGCUGUCUGUCUAUCGGUCUGUUGGUCGGUUGAUUAUUUGUUUCAACGUUGGUUCGUUCACUCGCUUCCUUUUUUUUUUGGCCGCGUUGUUGUCGUGCGCCUUUUGUUUGGAUGGUAAAUGCGAAUGACGACAAUGGCGAUGACUUACUUCCCCCCCCUAGCUUGAUCGCAUUAAACUAAAAAUUGUAUUUUGUUUACAUACCAGAAAAUAAAC